GAUGAACGCUGGCGGCGUGCCUAAUACAUGCAAGUCGAGCGAACAGACGAGGAGCUUGCUCCUCUGACGUUAGCGGCGGACGGGUGAGUAACACGUGGAUAACCUACCUAUAAGACUGGGAUAACUUCGGGAAACCGGAGCUAAUACCGGAUAAUAUAUUGAACCGCAUGGUUCAAUAGUGAAAGACGGUUUUGCUGUCACUUCUAGAUGGAUCCGCGCCGCAUUAGCUAGUUGGUAAGGUAACGGCUUACCAAGGCAACGAUGCGUAGCCGACCUGAGAGGGUGAUCGGCCACACUGGAACUGAGACACGGGCCAGACUCCUACGGGAGGCAGCAGUAGGGAAGCUGCCGCAAUGGGCGAAAGCCUGACGGAGCAACGCCGCGUGAGUGAAGAAGGUCUGCGGAUCGUAAAACUCUGUUAUUAGGGAAGAACAAAUGUGUAAGUAACUAUGCACGUCUUGACGGUACCUAAUCAGAAAGCCACGGCUAACUACGU
RNAcentral lists this ribosomal RNA (496 nucleotides) under uncultured bacterium. RNAcentral describes it as "partial 16S ribosomal RNA". It matches the Rfam family "Bacterial small subunit ribosomal RNA", at positions 28 to 506 of the family's 1533-position model. The record is from RNAcentral.